Juglans regia (Persian walnut) is the source of this 2037-nucleotide RNA transcript. It is a transcript of the gene named disease resistance protein RPV1-like, with no coding region annotated. NCBI's taxonomy places the organism in Eukaryota, Viridiplantae, Streptophyta, Magnoliopsida, Fagales, Juglandaceae. The transcript is spliced from 4 exons. The record is from RefSeq and is a predicted model, not a curated record.
AACCUUCAGAUCAAUUGCUCAAAAUGUCAAAACUUUUCAGAAAUCUAGGGUAAAAUGGAACGUUUAUGUUGCAUCUUCUUAUUGAGCACUGCAAGAAAAGAAAUACCUUCAUCCAUUGGGUAUUUCACUCAGCCAGCCCUUAAAUCAUUAUAUGUCAGACAAUGCUCAAAACUUAUGCGUUUCCCCAGUAGCAUUCAUCUGUUGCAAAAUCUAGAAGAGCUUUGUCUCUUUAACUGUAUAAAUCUUGAAAUAGGAGAAGUGGCUUCAUCCAUUAAUGGAUGCUUCACUGGGAUUGAAGAGUUAUCUAUAGAAGGCUGCAUGGACUUGAUGUGUCUCCCAAUCAGUGUUUCUCACUUGCAACAUCUAAAGAGUCUUUCUCUCGAUAAUUAUUCAAAUCUUGCAAGAGAAGAAAUAUGUUCAUCCAUUGGGUACCUCACUGGGCUUAAAAAGUUGCACCUAACAACAUCCAGAUUGUUUAAGAGGUCUGAACCAGAAUCAAGUGCUGAAUUACUCCUGUCGCCAGUUUAUAAUUGUUAUCUUGACGGCUUUUCAUUUUACUGCUCAUCGACUUUGCAAGAGUUAGAUCUAUCUAAAAGUGCAAUUGUCAGCCUUCCUCCGAGCAUCAAAAGAUUUGUUGAAUUGAGGAUUCUCAGUUUGUGGCAUUGCGAGAAACUUCAAGAAAUUCUACAUCUUCCACCAAAUAUACAGAAGCUAUAUGCUAGUGAGUGUUUCUCCUUGGAAAGAUUCCCAGAAGUAUCAAAACAAUUUCAAUUCUAUAGAUGUGGCUUGCAAGAGCUAAGAUGGAUUGAUUUGUCCGGUUGCCAUAAAUUGCUUGCAAAUAUAGGGAGUCAGGUGCCAAAUCCUUCAUUUGUUGAGGAACAUAUUCAAGACCAUUCAUGUGGUAUUAUAUUUCCAGGGAAUAAGAUUCCAGAUUGGUUUAGCCAUACUAAGGAAACUUCAAAUGGUGAUGAUUAUUGUGAAUUGGAUAUUAGUGGUCCUUUGUAUUUGGAUGAAAUCGUAGGAAUUAGUUUUUGUGCUGUUCUUGGAGCCGACCCAGAUCACCUGAUCCGCUCCAGUAUUGGUGUUUAUAUAAACGGUAACAUGCUUGUUGAAGCAGAUUUUUACUUAUUAAAAGACUCGGAUCAUGUAUAUCUAAAUUACUCAUUUCUAGAAUGUAUCGAGCAAUGGCUGCGGUACCCAAAAGGAGACAAUCUGAGGUUUAGUUUUUAAAGUGAGGAUAAAUCGGCGAUGUUUAAAAGUUGUGGAGUUCACAUAAUCUAUAAGCAUGAAGAGAAUGAGAAUUUUAAAGCUAGUAAGUGUUCAGUAGAUUCAUUGAAUGGUAUCCAACUUUGUAAGAGACGUCGAGAUGAUGGAGACAACAACUUUAUAAGAAGAAGGGGAAGAGGGAGAAGACAAUGAGGAAGAAGAGGAAUUUGAACAAUCUGAUGAUGACGAAGAAGAUAGAAGAAGACAGUGGGGCAUUCUUCUAUGCAUGGUUCACCUUCUUAGCUAUUGAUGGAUCAAGGAAGUUGAGAUUCUCCUAGUUGGAGGGAAAAAUUUAUGCCACUUGUUGUUAGAAGUCUUGGCCUGUAACAUAGGUUGAUUGCCACUCAGAUUGCCACCCCCAGCAUUCAAGUUUAUGGGCGUUUAGCAUCAUUAUGGACAAGCAAAUAUUGUCUCUCAAUUCACUCAAAAAGUAGCUAAGCUUGUGGUUUUCCAAGAGGCCUCUUAGCCGAUUCGACAGGGCCUCAAAUUGGGCUUUGUAACUUGCGACUGUUAAGGUCUGUUUGAGGCGAGUAAGGGCUUCCAUCUGAUCAUCAUACCCAGUGGGGCCAAACCACACUUGCAAUGCUCUGCAAAAACUCUCCCAGUUGUUAAAGAUCCUGCUCUCCACAAUGUCCUGGCACCAGACCAUUGCUUCCCCCUCCAGGUGGUAGGAGGCCAUUAACGAGCGAUGCAUAGGCUGAGUUUGGUGGUACUCAAAGUACUGUUUGGCCUUGAAGCACCAAGCAGUUGGAUUAUCACCAUCAGAGUGAG